CUGCAGUCAAUUAAGCUGACUGGGUUACUUUGCUGGUGGGUACCCCAUGUGAAAAAUGGCUGCAAACAGCAACCUCCAUGGUAGUGUACAUGUCCUAUCACUUACAUGGGCUGCCCCAAAGGACCCGGGAGACACUG
Molecule: small nucleolar RNA, 137 nt
Organism: Fukomys damarensis (Damara mole-rat)
Lineage: Eukaryota; Metazoa; Chordata; Mammalia; Rodentia; Bathyergidae
Gene: SNORA70
Rfam family: Small nucleolar RNA SNORA70
About the family: snoRNA U70 seems to be exclusive to mammals and is a member of the H/ACA class of snoRNA which contain H (ANANNA) and ACA box motifs. H/ACA box snoRNAs are involved in the conversion of uridines to pseudouridines (5-ribosyluracil) a constituent of structural RNAs (transfer, ribosomal, small nuclear, and small nucleolar).
Source: Ensembl